GAGUAGUAAAAGUUAAUGUCUUGAAACUUAAAAAAUUUGGCGGUAUUUUGUCUAUUUAGAGGAACCUGUUUAGUAAUUGAUAAUCCACAACUGAAUUUACUUUUUUUAAUUUAUUUGUAUACCGCCGUCAUGAAUAUAUUUUGAAAUGAAUUUUCAUUUUUAUUAAAAGUUAUGUUAGGUCAAGGUGCAGUGUAAAAAGAAUAAAUGGGUUACAUUAGUUGUCUUAAUGAAAUUGGAUUUAAUAGUAAAAAAAUUUAGAAUUUAAUGAAUAUAGAUUUAAAAAUAUG
Molecule: ribosomal RNA, 287 nt
Filed under: Epiacizzia kuwayamai
Lineage: Eukaryota; Metazoa; Arthropoda; Insecta; Hemiptera; Psyllidae
Description: partial 12S ribosomal RNA
Source: RNAcentral